GAUGAACGCUGACAGAAUGCUUAACACAUGCAAGUCUACUUGAACUUCGGUUUGGGUGGCGGACGGGUGAGUAACGCGUAAAGAACUUGCCUCACAGUUAGGGACAACAUUUGGAAACGAAUGCUAAUACCUGAUAUUAUGAUUUUAGGGCAUCCUAGGAUUAUGAAAGCUAUAUGUGCUGUGAGAGAGCUUUGCGUCCCAUUAGCUAGUUGGAGAGGUAACGGCUCACCAAGGCGAUGAUGGGUAGCCGGCCUGAGAGGGUGAACGGCCACAAGGGGACUGAGACACGGCCCUUACUCCUACGGGAGGCAGGAGUGGGGAAUAUUGGAAAAUGGACCAAAAGUCUGAUCCAGCAAUUCUGUGUGCACGAUGACGUUUUUCGGAAUGUAAAGUGCUUUCAGUUGGGAAGAAAAAAAUGACGGUACCAACAGAAGAAGUGACGGCUAAAUACGUG
This 454-nucleotide ribosomal RNA is filed under the name uncultured bacterium. Its description in RNAcentral is "partial 16S ribosomal RNA". It matches the Rfam family "Bacterial small subunit ribosomal RNA", at positions 28 to 507 of the family's 1533-position model. The record is from RNAcentral.